UCUUGAGAGCGGCGGACGGGUGAGUAAUGCCUAGGAAUCUGCCUGGUAGUGGGGGAUAACGUUCGGAAACGGACGCUAAUACCGCAUACGUCCUACGGGAAAAAGCAGGGGACCUUCGGGCCUUGCGCUAUCAAAUGAGCCUAGGUCGGAUUAGCUAGUUGGUGGGGUAAUGGCUCACCAAGGCGACGAUCCGUAACUGGUCUGAGAGGAUGAUCAGUCACACUGGAACUGACACACGGUCCAGACUCCUACGGGAGGCAGCAGUGGGGAAUAUUGGACAAUGGGCGAAAGCCUGAUCCAGCCAUGCCGCGUGUGUGAAGAAGGUCUUCGGAUUGUAAAGCACUUUAAGUUGGGAGGAAGGGUUGUAGAUUAAUACUCUGCAAUUUUGACGUUACCGACAGAAUAAGCACCGGCUAACUCUGUGCCAGCAGCCGCGGUAAUACAGAGGGUG
RNAcentral lists this ribosomal RNA (451 nucleotides) under uncultured bacterium. RNAcentral describes it as "bacterial SSU rRNA". It matches the Rfam family "Bacterial small subunit ribosomal RNA", at positions 87 to 534 of the family's 1533-position model. The record is from RNAcentral.